AUUUUUAUAUCUACCCCUUUUUAAUUUUAAUGACUAUUCUACCAUUUUCUUUACACAAACCUUUCUUCUCAGAAUUGACGAUCCGCAAUUUAUUCUCUCUUAUGCCGCCGCCGUCAACUUCACCGUCGCCGAAAUCGGGAACUCAUCAUCGUCGUUUCUUUCUUUCUUCUUCUUCUUCUUCCUCUUCUUCUUCUUCUUCUUCUUCUUCUUCUUCUUCUUCUUCUUCUUCAUCUUCUUCUUAUUCUCAGAUGCUACUGUAACUGCGAUCCGUCGAUCUCGUUGUUGUUGAAAUUGGGCAACUCGUCGUUGCUGUAAUUGGGAACCAGUCAUGUUCAGUCUCGUGUUUAUCAUCUGCUAUGUACGCUUGGGAAGCCUAAGUCAGGCAUAUGCUCGAGUUGAGUCGUUGAUGCGGAUAUCAACUUCACAUUUGGCCAUUACAAGGAAGCUAUGAAACAGGUAUAUAAAGAGUGAUUUCAAGUUUGGAUGACAAGAAUAUUAAGAGGUUACAAUAAUCUUUGGAUUGGUGGGAGAAGAGACUGUAUGAUGUGUGAGAAAAGAAAGAAGAUGAGGUUGACACUACAAAAAUUGGAAGAGUUGAAAGGACACUGAGCUGAAGUGCUCAUAAUUAGAAUCUCUAACUGAGCUGAAGUGCUCAGAAAGGACAGUAAACUAAAGUGCUCAGAAAGAGUGAAGUUUUCUUGUUUUGAAAGCUUCUCUCUUCUCUGAUGAUGUUGUUUAGUGUUCUUGCAUUCUUAGGAGACUUGGAUGAUUGAAUUGAAUUGAAUUGUUUGUUUUGAGUUGAUGCUAAUAUGGUGGAAUUGACGAAUGUGGGUAUCCAAGAUCUGUAGUUAUGACUUAUGAGAGAGUUUAAAUGACUGAAGUUCAUGAUUAUAAUACUCACAUCUGUAUUUGUAAAAGCAACAAGUCUUUGUGUGUAUUCAUUGAUUUUAAAAUA
Capsella rubella is the source of this 955-nucleotide long non-coding RNA. RefSeq lists it as uncharacterized. The record is from RefSeq and is a predicted model, not a curated record. NCBI's taxonomy places the organism in Eukaryota, Viridiplantae, Streptophyta, Magnoliopsida, Brassicales, Brassicaceae. The transcript is spliced from 3 exons.